GGAGGAGGGAUGUAGAAAUUGUUAAUUAA
RNAcentral lists this non-coding RNA (29 nucleotides) under Cricetulus griseus (Chinese hamster). The record is from RNAcentral. Lineage: Eukaryota; Metazoa; Chordata; Mammalia; Rodentia; Cricetidae.